This 500-nucleotide ribosomal RNA is filed under the name uncultured Glomus. RNAcentral describes it as "SSU rRNA". It matches the Rfam family "Eukaryotic small subunit ribosomal RNA", at positions 591 to 1092 of the family's 1831-position model. Lineage: Eukaryota; Fungi; Glomeromycota; Glomeromycetes; Glomerales; Glomeraceae. The record is from RNAcentral.
CCAAUAGCGUAUAUUAAAGUUGUUGCAGUUAAAAAGCUCGUAGUUGAAUUUCGGGAUCAGUAGGUUGGUCGUGCCACUGGUAUGUACUGGUCUCACUGGUUCCUCCUUCUUGUAGAACCGUAAUGCCAUUAAGUUGGUGUUGCGGGGAAACAGGACUGUUACUUUGAAAAAAUUAGAGUGUUUAAAGCAGGCUAACGCUUGAAUACAUUAGCAUGGAAUAAUGAAAUAGGACGAACGAUCCUAUUUUGUUGGUUUCUAGGAUUGACGUAAUGAUUAAUAGGGAUAGUUGGGGGCAUUAGUAUUCAAUUGUCAGAGGUGAAAUUCUUGGAUUUAUUGAAGACUGACUACUGCGAAAGCAUUUGCCAAGGAUGUUUUCAUUAAUCAAGAACGAAAGGUAGGGGAUCGAAGACGAUCAGAUACCGUCGUAGUCUUAACCAUAAACUAUGCCGACUAGGGAUCGGAUGAUGUUAAUUUUUUAAUGACUCAUUCGGCGCCUUACA